AACGGAGGAAAAGAAACCAACAGGGAUUGCCCUAGUAACGGCGAGUGAAGCGGCAACAGCUCAAAUUUGAAAUCUGGCUUCGGCCCGAGUUGUAAUUUGCAGAGGAAGCUUUAGGCGCGGCACCUUCUGAGUCCCCUGGAACGGGGCGCCAUAGAGGGUGAGAGCCCCGUAUAGUUGGAUGCCUAGCCUGUGUAAAGCUCCUUCGACGAGUCGAGUAGUUUGGGAAUGCUGCUCAAAAUGGGAGGUAAAUUUCUUCUAAAGCUAAAUACCGGCCAGAGACCGAUAGCGCACAAGUAGAGUGAUCGAAAGAUGAAAAGCACUUUGAAAAGAGGGUUAAACAGCACGUGAAAUUGUUGAAAGGGAAGCGCUUGUGACCAGACUUGCGCCGGGCUGAUCAUCCGGUGUUCUCACCGGUGCACUCGGCCCGGCACAGGCCAGCAUCGGUUCUCGCGGGGGGAUAAAGGUCCCGGGAACGUAGCUCCUCCGGGAGUGUUAUAGCCCGGGGCGUAAUGCCCUCGCGGGGACCGAGGUUCGCGCAUCUGCAAGGAUGCUGCGAAGACGUGAGGU
RNAcentral lists this ribosomal RNA (567 nucleotides) under Chaetomium sp. RNAcentral's name for it is "eukaryotic LSU rRNA". It matches the Rfam family "Eukaryotic large subunit ribosomal RNA", at positions 49 to 638 of the family's 3401-position model. The record is from RNAcentral. Lineage: Eukaryota; Fungi; Ascomycota; Sordariomycetes; Sordariales; Chaetomiaceae.